GUGUUAUUAGUAUAAGUUUAUUAUUACACCUUUCCAAGGUGAAGAUCUAAAGGUGUU
Molecule: transfer RNA, 57 nt
Filed under: Raillietina tetragona
Lineage: Eukaryota; Metazoa; Platyhelminthes; Cestoda; Cyclophyllidea; Davaineidae
Description: tRNA-Gly
Source: RNAcentral